RNAcentral lists this small RNA (125 nucleotides) under Marmota monax (woodchuck). Lineage: Eukaryota; Metazoa; Chordata; Mammalia; Rodentia; Sciuridae. The record is from RNAcentral.
GACAGGCGUGGGGGUGCAUGCCUGUAAUCCCAGCAGCUCAGGAGACUGAGGCAGGAGGAUCACAAGUUCAAAGACAGCCGCAGCAAAAGUGGGGCACUAAGGAACUCAGUGAGAUACUGUCUCUA